CUUGGUCAUUUAGAGGAAGUAAAAGUCGUAACAAGGUUUCCGUAGGUGAACCUGCGGAAGGAUCAUUAUUGAAAUUAUAGGUGAGGGUUGUAGCUGGCCUCUCGGGGCAUGUGCACGCCCGAGCCCUUAAUCCACACACACCUGUGAACCUAUUGUAAGGGCCCUUAAAAAAGGCCUUUACGUCUUAUCAUCAACCCAUCGUAUGUCUCAUAGAAUGUAAAUAUAUGUCCUCGCCUUAAAAAGCGUUGAUAAACUUAUACAACUUUCAACAACGGAUCUCUUGGCUCUCGCAUCGAUGAAGAACGCAGCGAAAUGCGAUAAGUAAUGUGAAUUGCAGAUUUUCAGUGAAUCAUCGAAUCUUUGAACGCACCUUGCGCUCCUUGGUAUUCCGAGGAGCAUGCCUGUUUGAGUGUCAUUAAAUUCUCAACUCUGAUCGAUUUGUUUCGACUUCGGAGCUUGGAUUUGGAGCGUGCUGGCGUCGGUCGGCUCCUCUUAAAUGCAUCAGCGGAAUCUAACGUUUCGGAUGUCAGUGUGAUAAUCAUGUUGCGCUGUCUGUCUGAUCCGAAAGCCCGCUCACAAUGGUCUUCGGACAACUUCAUAUCAAAUUUGACCUCAAAUCAGGUAGGACUACCCGCUGAACUUAAGCAUAUCAAUAAGCGGAGGA
Molecule: ribosomal RNA, 664 nt
Filed under: uncultured Piloderma
Lineage: Eukaryota; Fungi; Basidiomycota; Agaricomycetes; Atheliales; Atheliaceae
Description: eukaryotic LSU rRNA
Rfam family: 5.8S ribosomal RNA (bases 261-415)
Source: RNAcentral